GUCCCCGUAGCUUAACUGGAUAGAGCAUUUGGUUGCGGACCAAAAGGUUGGGAGUUCGACUCUCCCCGGGGACG
This 74-nucleotide transfer RNA is filed under the name Candidatus Gottesmanbacteria bacterium RIFCSPLOWO2_01_FULL_39_12b. RNAcentral's name for it is "tRNA-Arg". It matches the Rfam family "tRNA". Rfam says of the family: Transfer RNA (tRNA) molecules are approximately 80 nucleotides in length. The record is from RNAcentral. Lineage: Bacteria; Candidatus Gottesmaniibacteriota.